GACUCUCGGCAACGAAUAUCUCGGCUCUCGCAUCGAUGGAAGAACGUAGCGAAAUGCGAUACUUGUGUGAAUUGCAGAAUCCCGUGAACCAUCGAGUCUUUGAACGCAAGUUGCGCCCGAGGCCUCCUGGUCGAGGGCACGUCUGCCUGUGUGUCA
Molecule: ribosomal RNA, 156 nt
Filed under: Salix viminalis (osier)
Lineage: Eukaryota; Viridiplantae; Streptophyta; Magnoliopsida; Malpighiales; Salicaceae
Rfam family: 5.8S ribosomal RNA
About the family: 5.8S ribosomal RNA (5.8S rRNA) is a component of the large subunit of the eukaryotic ribosome. It is transcribed by RNA polymerase I as part of the 45S precursor that also contains 18S and 28S rRNA. Functionally, it is thought that 5.8S rRNA may be involved in ribosome translocation.
Source: RNAcentral